AAAUGCAUAACAAGGUUCUAGGGUCAGAUGACGAUGCAUACAUCAAGCUUCCAUCUUUCUCAGCAUUACAUUCCUCUCUGGAAAACCACUCAGUUGUUAAUGUACAGGUUUGUACGGUAAACAACAUUGAUGUUGUUUCGUUGUGCAAAUAGUAUUUUAUUCAGAUAUUCUUUUAUUCCUCUCAGAUGACCACUUUUAUAGGCAACCCAUAUCCGUCGACUGAAAACAUCACAGGAACGGUGUGUACCCUUGAACUAAGGGAUGGAUUGACGGAAAUCAGUGUAGAAAACUUGACAGAGCUAAUUGAGAUCAUUCUGCCACGCCCAGAUGCUCCUGUGCUCUCAGGUAUAACUGUAUCCUUGGAGGAAGGGGCUCGGGUUGGGACCUCUUUCAACACUACGGACCCCAACAUCACAGUCAUAUUCACCGUAGAGCCCAGUGUCAAUGUGUCCAUAGAACUGCUGCUGGGCCUGGGCUCCCCACCCAAUGACACCCACUAUAAACACCGCACCGUCCUGAGACACACAGGUAGAGGAGGAUUCCACCACCAUAGCUACUGCUAGGCAUAACAUUACACCCACUGUGCUACUGCUUUCAGUCAGUCUAGCUGUCUGGUAUGCACGUAGAUUCACAUAAUACUUUGAUAUUCAUGGUGAUUCACAAGCUUUAAGACAUGUCUGUCAGACAUUUCACACUGUAAUUGGAGGUUGGGCUCCCCAAAGGUAUUGUUGGUUUUCUUUCUUAGCCUGGGUGGUACAGAGUAAUCCAUGUUCAUAGCCUAUUGUGGUCUUUCAGAGGGUUAUCGCUGGCUGGUCACCCCUGAGAUGUUGGAAAUGGGAACAGGCACCUGGUAUGUGAAUGCCAGUCUGUUUAACUCAACCUGGAGCAAGGGCCUGACACUACAGAUCACCACCUUCACUACUAAGUGCAUGUACUGGAACACUAAACAGCUGACAUGGAGCAUAGCUGGCUGCUGGGUGAGGCUGCUAUUAAUGAGCCCUAUCCCUCCUUUGUCUCCAUCAGAGUAUGAACAAACCUAAUUAAGCGUCGUAAUGUGUUCGUGACAUUGCGAAAGCGUUUGUCUGUGUUGUCUUGUUCUAGGUGGGUAUACAGUCAACUCCCAGGAUGACACAUUGUCUGUGUAACCACCUGACAUCGUUUGGGAGCUCUUUCUUUGUGAUGCCCAACUACGUGGACGUGUCGCUCACAGCUCAGUACUUUGCCACAGUGAAUGAGAACUAUGUGGUGGUGGCAUUGCUCUCUGCCUUCUUUGGCCUGUACCUGGUCACUCUGCUCUGGGCCUGCUAUGCAGACAGGAGGGCCCUCACCAGGAGGAAGAUGACACUCCUGAAGGAUAACCACCCAUGUGCCAGUUAUAACUACCUACUGAAUGUCCAGACUGGCAGUCGGAGAGGGGCGGGUA
Non-coding RNA from Salmo salar (Atlantic salmon), 1423 nucleotides. The record is from RefSeq and is a predicted model, not a curated record. Lineage: Eukaryota; Metazoa; Chordata; Actinopteri; Salmoniformes; Salmonidae.